This is a long non-coding RNA of Glossina fuscipes, 1707 nucleotides long. RefSeq lists it as uncharacterized. The transcript has 2 exons. NCBI's taxonomy places the organism in Eukaryota, Metazoa, Arthropoda, Insecta, Diptera, Glossinidae. The record is from RefSeq and is a predicted model, not a curated record.
AAACAAAAACAAAACAUUGAAAAAGUAAAUAAAUAACAUAUUUUCCUUUGGAGAUUGUGCAGCAACGAUAUGCAUAAUGAAUAACGCGCGAAGUCGAGACCUCAUAAAUAUAUCUGAACAGGGUUGCGAAAACAGGGUAGAAAUUAGUGCUACCAAAACCGAAAGCGGUCUGUUAAUGCAAAAGACAAGUGAUGAGCAACUUCCCUGCUUUGAUUGUGUUAAUGUACAAGGAUCGGCAAUCUUUAAUGUUCUGGGCAUGGAAUAGAACACGUGUUCAAAGUGUCGAAAAAUGCAGAGCUUGGUUUUUUAAAGCGAUGCAAAAAAUACUUCAUUGCAGUCGGUACCAGCACCAUUUACGCCGCCUUUACUGGACCAUUAUAUUAUAACACUCACGUGUGGGAGGGUGCCUUCAAACUUUGCUUAAAAGCCCCCGAGUGCCUACAGCAAAAGGCUCAAAAUGACGAAAGUAUGCACAGAACACCCGAUGCUUCAGACCAUCGGCUUAACGUGGUUUGCGUGAUGCUUAUGUAGAGCUACGUUUAGGGCAAAUGUUCUAUGGAAAUAAAAGAGAGAUGCUCGCCAAUUAAAUCUCACAACAGGAUUACACGCCUUUCUCAGCGUUUUUAUCCACUCGUCCUGCAGUUGUCUGCAUACCACACGAUACACUAUCGCUACCACGUUUUUAACCGUACUACCCGCCUUCAGAACAACUUAUCAGCUGUGGUCUUUCCAACGUUCGAUAGUUCGAAUCAAUCUAGUUGAAUUAUUACCUUUCUUUACUCCAAAGUCACCUGAGUUGGUAAUAGAAAAAAAAAAGUCAAAUUCCAAAAUAGAAAACACCAAACAUCAUAUUCAUAAUGCUUUACCUGCCAAAGCAGAAUAUUUGCGAGAGGCAAAGUCGAUUGAGUUAAGGGAGUUGAAUUGUAUAAUUGGAGCAAGAACGCCACCAGAACGACCAUUAAAAAUGUCGUAAAUAAAAGUUCUUCUUCCUAUGAGUUGUAAAUAGAACCUAUGCUACGUUCUAAAAAUGACAAUUCAGUGAGACGGACUUAAUCGCGAAAGAAGUUGAUCGAAAAUGUAAAAGUUAAAUUUUUUUUUUUGUUGUUGAGAGGAGAUGAAACGUAAAAAUUACAGAAAAUCGUUAUACGUUGCAAUAUAUCAAAUCUAUCACUUAGCGGCUGCGAUAGCUCGUAGUUGUUACAUUAAACAUUAAUGAGGUUUUUUUUAUUUUCUAAAUACUUUUAAAAGCAAGCACAUGAUUACGAUGCGUUGGUAAUGCCUUUUCCGCUAAUUAAAAAUAAGAAAUAUUCAUAAAUAUUUAUGUUCAACUUCAAAAAGAAUUUGUUACUAAUCGUUCGUUCCGGUAAAUAAUGAUUUUUAUGAUGGUAAUAAAAAAAAAAAAAACCAAAAACAACAAUGCAGCUGUUGCUAGUGAAACAGUUCUCGUUUGAUAGCCGUAAGAACGCGAAAACAAAUGAAGUGAAGUGAAAACAAAUAAUGUAAAAUGUGAAUUUUACAAAAAAUUUCUAGUGAAUAGAAAGAGACAAAAAACGCUUUUACAUUGAAGCUGUUAGCGCUUAAACACAAUGGUGCGUUAUUCUUAUUUUAGAAACGAGAUUUCAACUUUGCCGACUUUUUACGAGGCUUAGCAGGCAUCGGCGAACCGUACGCAUGUAUACAUACAAAUAAAGGAAAAAAAAAAAAAAA